GGUCCUAAGGUAGCGAAAUUCCUUGUCGGGUAAGUUCCGACCCGCACGAAAGGCGUAAUGAUUUGGAUGCUGUCUCGGAGAGAGGCUCGGUGAAAUAGACUUGUCUGUGAAGAUGCGGACUACCUGCACCAGGACAGAAAGACCCUAUGAAGCUUUACUGUAACUUGAAAUUGAAAUUGGACUUUAUUCGCGCAGUAUAGGUGGGAGGCGUCGAUUAUAAUCUUGCGGGAUUAUUGGAGCCAUCAGUGAGAUACCACUCUUGUAAUGUUAGAUUUCUAACUUUGAAUCAUUAUCUGGUCAAAGGACAAUUUCAGGCGGGCAGUUUGACUGGGGCGGUCGCCUCCUAAAUGGUAACGGAGGCGUACAAAGGUUUCCUCUGAACGGUUAGAAAUCGUAUCUAGAGUGUAAAGGCAUAAGGAAGCUUGACUGUGAGACCUACAAGUCGAGCAGGGACGAAAGUCGGUCUUAGUGAUCUGACGGUACUGAGUGGAAAGGCCGUCACUCAACGGAUAAAAGUUACUCUAGGGAUAACAGGCUGAUCUCCCCCAAGAGUUCACAUCGACGGGGAGGUUUGGCACCUCGAUGUCGGCUCAUCGCAUCCUGGGGCGGUAGUACGUCCCAAGGGUUGGGCUGUUCGCCCAUGAAAGCGGUACGCGAGCU
This 660-nucleotide ribosomal RNA is filed under the name Unruhdinium penardii. RNAcentral's name for it is "bacterial LSU rRNA". It matches the Rfam family "Bacterial large subunit ribosomal RNA", at positions 1947 to 2606 of the family's 2925-position model. The record is from RNAcentral. Lineage: Eukaryota; Dinophyceae; Peridiniales; Kryptoperidiniaceae.